RNAcentral lists this ribosomal RNA (253 nucleotides) under uncultured bacterium. RNAcentral's name for it is "partial 16S ribosomal RNA". It matches the Rfam family "Bacterial small subunit ribosomal RNA", at positions 524 to 776 of the family's 1533-position model. The record is from RNAcentral.
UACAGAGGGGGCAAGCGUUAUUCGGAAUUAUUGGGCGUAAAGGGCGCGUAGGCGGCUUGGCAAGUGGAUGGUGAAAUCCCACGGCUCAACCGUGGAACUGCUGGGUAUACUGGUUGUCUUGAGCCAGCUAGGGGCGAGCGGAACAGACGGUGGAGCGGUGAAAUGCGUAGAUAUCGUCUGGAACGCCGAAGGUGAAAACAGCUCGCUGGGGCUGCGCUGACGCUGAGACACGAAAGCCAGGGGAGCGAACGGG